GUGUUGCUCCCCAGGUGACCGGGGGCGCCACCGUCCGCCGCCGAAGACCCCCCUUCUCCCGCGCCCCCUCGCCGCCGCUGCCGCCGGCACUGCGCCGCGGUGGCGGCGGCCCCCCGCUGCCAAAUGAUGUCGGGGGCAGCUCCUCCCCUAGGUGGCGUCGGCGGCUCUCAAUCUCGUCUCUGGGGGCAGGAGCGGUGGCUCACUGGCGCAGGCAUGUUGGGGCGGCGGCCCCGGGGACGCGGUGGAGUGGUGGUGCGGCGCUCCGGUGGAUCUUCGGCGUGGAGGUCGCGGAUCUGGGGUCUGGCCCUCCCGUCAGGUGUGGUGCUUCACCGUGGUGGAGGUGCCCCUGCGGGGCGUCGAGUGCGCAUGAGCUUGGUAGUCGACGGUGGGGGUAGCUUGGCGCGGCGGGAAGGUGGAACUGGUGGAUGUCGACGAUGGGGAUUGUGUGCUAUGCAGUGCUUCCGAUCUGCUCGGAUUCGGAGGUGUGAUGGAGCUCCGGGCGAAAGUCUAGCACUGACCUUGGGUCGGUGCCGGCAACAGCGGCGCCAUGGCCAUGGUGUCGUUCCCCUUCUUGAAGGUGUUGCCGUGGUGCUCCAUUGCACGACUCUCCGGGAGAAAUCCCUAGCUUCGGAUUGUCGGAGCGGGCGAUGUCGGCGGCUACAUCGUUUCCUUCUUUGAGGCAUCGCCUUGGAGAGUCAGCAUGUUGCAGUUUGCAUGGAUCUCUUCGUCAUUGGGGACAGUGGACGUCGGGGCGGCGGCUCCGGAUGGUUUCUGGUUGUACGUCGAGAUGGCGAUCUCGGGAACAAUGUGAGUGGCAGCUCUAUGAGGUGGGGCUCUAUCUCGACAUUGGUUGGGUGGCAUCCUUGUCCCGCUUGGGCGGUAGGGGUGUCGGCUCGGUCGAUGUGCCCUAGUGGGGGCGGUCUGACUGUACGUCGGGGCGGCGGCCCCGGAUGUGGUGUGACGUUUGUGGUCUGCGAGCGGUUGCCCUUAGCAGCGUGGGCUGCGGGCAGCUGGGUUGUGCGGCGUUGCUGCUCGAGGGGAGCGGUGGUGUGUCGGGGCGGCGGCCCCGGAAGGCGAUACCGGUUGAUUGCGCUGGGCGCGACAGAGCGGUGGAUGUCGGGGCGGCGGCCCCGAGAGAAUCUGUGGCGACCAGACUUCUGUGGCAACGAUGAUGGUGGGAGCGAUGUCAGCGACGUGGCAAUGGUUGCGGUAGUCGGCUCUUCUCCGGCGUGUCCACGGUUUUGCCUCGGUUUGCUUGUUGUUAUGGAGUCGAAGCUGCGGCGGCGGGGCCCUGUGGUGUACGAUGACUGGCUGCAGGUGGCCCGUUCGGUGAUCUUUCCUGGCGCCAGCCGUGCCUGGUUUUUGUUUUUCUGAGUUCUUCGUCUGAGUUGGAGCUGCGUUGUCUGGCCGCAGGUUGACUUGUCGUCGAUAUGGGUGGGCUUUGCCCUGUGUGUUUCAGUCUAUGGGAGUGGGUUUGGCCCCUGUUGUUUCGGUUUUUGCCCGAUUUUCCAGAAUUAACUGGGCAAUUCUCUUCUUCUUAAUUAAUAGAUGAGGCAAUCUUUGCCUCCGUUUGAAAAAAAAAUGAUGAGAUUCUGGUCUUGCUCGUCGAGGACCCAAUCACAGGGCAGUCUGUCAGCUGCUGCAAUUCAUUAGGAAAAGUUCAAGUUUCCUAUUAGAUUUAGUUCUAUUGGAAAAGGGCCGCCCUCACCGCGCUUAUCCCCGUCGCCGGAGGGCCGGCGUGCAGCGGUUGGGCCACAGCCGACACUUCCGGUCGUGCCCUACCACUGCUCAAUCUUCUCGCCUAACCCCUUCCUCCCCGAUCUGCUACUGAUGUACCCCAACUACCACUGGAGCUUCAGGGAGCACUCCCCCGUCCAAGUUGAGCAUUGGGCGCCGUCCGAGUAGAGCACUGCACCCCGUCCAAGUCCCCAUCUAAUGUUGAACGUUCAAUUUUGUCAUGUUGAAUAAUAUAGCGCUGAGCACCCUACAAUUAUUUUUGCUUGAGCGCUGAACAAACAGUGGAGCCUGCUGGAGGAGUCACGGGGUCGAGGACCUCCUGCUCAACAGUACAACUUCUUGUUUUGUGGCCGAUCGCUCAAGGAGCUGAGUGCAGGCUACAGUAAGUACAUGAUUACUAAUAUUAGGAUAUGUAUGUGGUCCCAGUAAGUACAUGAGUAUUAAUUAGCAAGUUUGGUUGCUUCUGAAAACUGAAAAAUGUCAGCUUGUACUGAUGCAUUCCAAAAUUGUGUUGUGUGUUUUCAAGAAAAAACAUUUGUCGGGUUUUUGAUGGCCAAGUAUUAUUGAUAUGGAGAUGAAUAACUAUGCGGAUGCGCUCCUAUUGUUUUUCUCGAAAAAAACAAGAUGCCAUGUUUACACAUCCAUAUUUAAUUUUGGAAGGUUCACACAUCCAUAUUAAAGAGAUUCAUCGGACAUAAUUUUGUAAGAUCAGAAAAAGCAAUUGCUGAGUACAUCACAGCAGCUCUUCGAUGCAAAAAGGAUGGCUCUUCUCAAGUCAGCAGCUAACCAAACUAGCGACUUGAGGGUAGCUCGGUCAAAUAUGGCAGCUGUGUAGUAAACAGUUUCAGUUGAGAAAUCAGCAAUAAUCAGCAAGCGACAUGCUCAGUCCAACCCCGUGGCUUCAGGGUGGCCGAGUUCGUCGCGACCAUCAGUUCGGAGACCUGCGUCACUGCGCAUGUCGCUACCAUGGCCCCCUGUGUUACUGCGUGCUCUAUCAACAGCCUCCUGCACAAGGAAAAGCAACAGGAGUAGAGGCGUCUGAGAUGCUCUGUUCUAGUGAGGUGGCUGAUUAUGUUUGUUAGUUUGUAAUACUUUGGCCGCAGUGUACUUAUGUAUGUUUUUCUGGCCGGAGCACGAUCAGAGCUUAUGUCAGUAUGAACUUUGACUGUGAUGGUACUACAAACUCUAUAAAAACACCAGCAAUCCAUUUUUACUGGUACUUACCUUUUAUACAAUUCACAUGGAUUGUGCCCCUAUUACCAACUGUGGUACAAAAAUGCACUGUGCUCACCAUUUUAUUUUAGUUCAUCAGUUUGUAAUACUUUAAAGAGAGGAGGUAAAAGUGAA
Molecule: long non-coding RNA, 3084 nt
Organism: Aegilops tauschii subsp. strangulata
Lineage: Eukaryota; Viridiplantae; Streptophyta; Magnoliopsida; Poales; Poaceae
Source: RefSeq, a predicted model, not a curated record